RNAcentral lists this long non-coding RNA (236 nucleotides) under Homo sapiens (human). Its description in RNAcentral is "HSALNT0077735". The record is from RNAcentral. Lineage: Eukaryota; Metazoa; Chordata; Mammalia; Primates; Hominidae.
UUUAGAGUAGUUCUUGGCAUAUAGUGAGCCAUUGAUGUGUGUUGUUAAUGAUUGUUAUCAUUGCUGUUACUGUUACAGAGGGCAAGCACUGAGGAUCUGGAUAAGAGAAGAAUUGGUAGGAAAACUCUUCGGUGUGCCCAAGCAUCUCCAAAAUGUUUUUUCAAAAGACAGGUGGACUUUAGCCCCUAAGAAGAAUCUGAUGCAGUCAAUCUGGUAACAACCCUACAGUGUCAGCU